CCUACGGGAGGCAGCAGUAGGGAAUCUUCCACAAUGGACGAAAGUCUGAUGGAGCAACGCCGCGUGAGUGAUGAAGGUUUUCGGAUCGUAAAACUCUGUUGUAAGGGAAGAACAAGUACGAGAGGGAAUGCUCGUACCUUGACGGUACCUUGCGAGAAAGCCACGGCUAACUACGUGCCAGCAGCCGCGGUAAUACGUAGGUGGCAAGCGUUGUCCGGAAUUAUUGGGCGUAAAGCGCGCGCAGGCGGCCUUUUAAGUCUGAUGUGAAAGCCCCCGGCUCAACCGGGGAGGGUCAUUGGAAACUGGAAGGCUUGAGUACAGAAGAGAAGAGUGGAAUUCCAUGUGUAGCGGUGAAAUGCGUAGAGAUGUGGAGGAACACCAGUGGCGAAGGCGACUCUUUGGUCUGUAGCUGACGCUGAGGCGCGAAAGCGUGGGGAGCAAACAGGAUUAGAUACCCUGGUAGUCCACGCCGUAAACGAUGAGUGCGUAGUGGUUGGGGUUUCCGGUCCCGUCCGUACGUGUCGUGAGACGUAACGACGAUUAAGACACCUCCGUCCGUCGGGGACGGUACCGGGCCGGCCGAACGGACGUACGAAACCGUAACCGAAAGUAAGUAAGUUAGUACGGACGUGAGACGUACGACCGAACGGACGACCGACGAGGGGAGGAGGG
Molecule: ribosomal RNA, 672 nt
Filed under: uncultured bacterium
Lineage: Bacteria
Description: bacterial SSU rRNA
Rfam family: Bacterial small subunit ribosomal RNA (bases 1-556)
Source: RNAcentral